Cyprinus carpio carpio is the source of this 4756-nucleotide long non-coding RNA. Lineage: Eukaryota; Metazoa; Chordata; Actinopteri; Cypriniformes; Cyprinidae. The record is from Ensembl.
AGACCCAAGGGACCCUACCUUACGUGGGCCAGCCAGGACUCCUCCAACCUCCAAUUCCAUUCAUCACUGGCGUCACUUGAGGAUCACCUCUCAUCGCGCGGUGCAGUCUGGACUUAUUCAACUUCCAAUUCUAUUCCAAAUGGUCUAUCCAUUUCUCCCUCAUCAAUACCCUCUCAUCCUGCCAUCUAACAACAAGUUGGCUAAAAACCCACUCACAAACAUCCUUUUAUCCCCAACAUCCAUUCUUCCACCCUUCCUUCAGCUGUUUUACAGCAUACGGCUCCCAGUUUUCUAAUGAUUCAUACAGCUACUUCGGCGGUCCAGGUGCCUCAUCCAGUGCCCCAAGAGACCCUACCUUACGUGGGCCAGCCGGGAUUCCUCCAACCUCCAAUUCCAUUCGUCUGGUCUACCAUUCCCCUUUCCUCCCUCCAUCAAUACCUUCACAUCCUGCCCCAGAGAGCAGCAUGUGACCGUCAGCCCCACCAACCAAGGGAGAGCACGGCCCCACACUGCACCAGCGCACCGACAGCUAAGACGCCGAGCAAUGAGCACCAAACCGCCUCACAGCCACGCCUAUCACCACCCUUCCGAUUAAUAAAAUCCACCCUUCGGGGAACUUACCCUCAUCCUCGAGUCGUGUCCUCCUUCACCCCACCACAAUAUAUAUAUAUAUAUAUAUAUAUAUAUAUAUAUAUAUAUAUAUAUAUAUAUAUAUAUAUAUGUUUACAUUGUGGAUUGUUUAGACUACAUUUUUCCAAAUGGUGAAAUUGUUCACCAACUUAGCUCUGAUGUGGUAAAUGUUUUAAAUGCGUUAUAUCCGGCUAUUGGCGUUCGCAAUCGUCUGAAUUGUAAAUGUAUCAGAAAGCUGUAAAUGUCACCGAUAAGUGGCUCAUCGACAGACAUAUAUGCGCGUCCAUUCUUAUCAGUGAUGCUAUUUAUUAUCAGUUAUGAAUCUUCUGCCAGGCAUGUUUUGUUCACUUAUGUGUUCAGCUGACAAGGAACAGUUUCCUAGAGUGGCACAAAGAUGUAUAACUGUUCAAUUCCGUGUACUAUGUGAGAGAGUAGGUUUGUGGGCUUCUACAAAUCUUACACCCUUUUUUAUCUUGGACUCUUCCUGUUUACUUAGUCCAAUUCUUAAGUUCUAUUUUGUUGUCUAAAUCAAUUUUUAUUUAUUAUUAUUAUUAUUAUUAUUUACAGAUUCCCCCAAUCUCUCGCAUGGCCAAACUCUGUAUGCUAAACCAUAUUAUUAUCAGUAUUAUUAUAAUUAUUAUUAUUAUUAUUACUUUUUAAAUGUUUAAUUAUUAUUUAAACAUGUUUUAAUACACAGAAUUGAUAAAAAGUGAUCAAUUUCUUAAUUCAGGGACAAAAAUUUUGGCAUGGCAUGGGCUCUGUAUACGGGAAUAAAUGUGUUAAAAAAGGCCAGAUAAUGAAUAAGUAUGUGUGACCUGCUGAAAUACAUCAGAGAAUUAUUAAAUGUAAGUUUGAAGCCUUUCAUAAUUUGUGGCAUUAUUGUGAGUGCCAAAUUAUGUUAGAACAGGGCCUAGCCUAUAACACUCAUCAAUAAGAUGAGAUAAAAAUGCAAACAUGUACAUCCAUCUUGCUCACAUAUUAUUUUAGCACAGUUUGUGCUGAAUACGAAAAAAAAAAAUUGUGUGUUGGCCAAUAGUAUGUUAUAAGUAGCUGAAAUAAGCACAAAUGUCAGGGCAUGUCAAAACAGCUCAAGGGCCCCAGAAUCACCUCAGACCCCAGAGGGGUAAUGAUGCACUCAUCUCAUGACCUAAUUCACUGAUCUCAAUUAGUGUCUAAUUAUAUGGGUAGAUUUUUUUUAACUUUUUUUUUAUUGUUUAUGGUGCUAAUAUGACUCCACACGAUAUGUUGACAAACUAUUGUAGAGAAAUUUAAAAACAUUUUAUGCACAAAAAUUUUAUUUGUGCAUAUGAUUGCGGUAUCAGUGGUGCAAUUGAAAAGUUUUAGUAAUAUAUCACACCCAUAAUAAGAGAUUAAACAUUAGGUGAGAUCAGUGAAUCGGACUGGUUCAUGAUGGUCUUGACAUCACAAACACCAGUUUUCUCUAAUCAUAGAUUAUUUUGGAUUUUCUUGUUAUAAAAGCUGUGUUAAAUAAACACAGUUAAUUAAAGCAACCAAAGAAAACACACUUUUAAAAAGUCAAGGCUCAAGAGCCCAACUAAAGCAAACACCGAUCACCAUUAUGGUGACUUGAAAUGAAAGCACAACAUUUAACAUCUUAAUUAGAGCUUCUGUACACAUGACAGUAAUAAAGUCACACUGGUUAGUUUAAGCUGUUUGUGGAGCUGAUAGCAGCAGACGGUUGAGUUGAUCAUGUUUGAUCAGUUAAGCAUUCUCAAAUCUUCACGACUUGCUUAAAAUAAAAUCUGUUGAUAUUAAACACUUAAAGCUGCAGUCUCUAAAGCUGAGAGACUGCAACGGCUGAAGUUAAAAAAAAAUCAUAAUUUGAGUUCUACUGAAGAAACAAAGUCACAUACAUCUUGGAUGCCCUGGGGGUAAGCAGAUAAACAACAAAAUUUUAUUUUUGGGUGAACUAUCCCUUUAAACAUUUAACUUAAAUAAAAGUAAGCUGUCAUGCAUAUUAAGCUUUUGUGCAGAGUGUGGAAGUUGAAGCGCACUUAAUGCAUGAGGCACCAGCGUGAUCACUUCAUUUUGAUCUUCAGUGGAAACAAGUAGGCUACACCAUCAUUUUGUUCAUCCUACCCGUAGGGAGGUGACAUGUGGAGAUACUGAUAUGGACUGACCCAGGGGGCAGUACUACAUAUGGAAUGGGUCUCUGAAGCAGGUCUUACCUUAGAGUAGGGAUGGAACAACUACAAGUAGAGACUGACAGAGCGGGUUUGUCAAGGGAAGACACAGGUUUACCGAGAGGGAAACCUUACUGUGGAAGAGAACUUAAAUGGGAUUUCCUGAAGGGAAUCAAGCCAUUUGGACACCUAGCCCAGUACAGUGGCUGACUGGGACUGUGCUCUACACGAAGGUUGUAAAACCUCGCUAAGGUGUUAGAUGUCGCCCAGCCCACAGCUUGACAGAUUUCUGAAUCAAGCGGCUCAAAGGGUCCCCUCUAAAGUCCAGCCAGGACAAUAAAGAUAUCCCAUGAGGGUAUAAGUGGUGUCCUAGGAGAAUUCAACCUUCUGGCACCCCUCAGGAAACUAACGAUCAGGUCAUGCUUUCCCAGGGACUGGACGUCCACUGCAUUGUGAUGUGCUGCGAUAGCAGCAACAUACACUUACAAGGUAGAGGGUGACAGCCUACGCUCCAACCUUUCAACUCUAAUCAAGCAUCUCCGUGGGUCUUCUUGGUGAGAAGGACACCAAUUCGUGAACAGACUCCAUUUCAAAGCAUAGGCAUGCCUCAAAGAGGGAGUUUUAGCCUGAGCCACCUCAAAAUGUUGUCAUGACAAAACUUGUAGUCACCGACAAAUAGGAAAUAGUUUUGCCACUUUGGGGAAAAAUUUAUUGGAUAUUAUUUAAAUAGUCUGUCUAAUUAAAAUAAACAUAUAUAGGCCUAUCAUCAUGUCCAGUCAGAAUAAAAGCAACUCUGACUGAUUAUGGUUUGUCAUUACAGAAAUAUGGAAUAGGCUCUUUGUUUUUAACUAUAUUCUAUUCAUCUUUGUUAGGGAAAGAAAUGCUACACCAUGCUUUCAUUACAUGUUGCUUCUUUAGCUCAGUGAGUCUCUUUACUCUUCCAUGUUUCAUGCAACAUCGUGUGUAAAAGAAAAUAGAAAAUCUAUGAAUUAGUAGUGAAGUUAAAAAAAGAGAGAAAAAAGAGUAAUUAGCAGCAAUUAAACUUGCCUGGAUGAAAUCAAAUGAAUGUGUGUUAUUCAUGUAUUUUUCAUGUGUGUACUAGAACUAAUUUGAAAAACAAAUAAAUUGUUGACGUGUUGACAUGCUUUUGCAUUUUAAAACUGGUCAAAUGCAUACUAUGUGGUAUAUGUGGUUUUGCAGAGGAGAAUAUAAGCUUUGUGCAUGUUCUUUCGUUCAUUUUUUGUGAGCACACUGAAAGCUGGACGAACUGCCGGAUCAAAAGCUUACAAGUGGAUUUGAAGUAAGUUUAAUAGGAUAAACCAGUUACUUAAUGGAGAUAAUUAUGUAUAAUGAUAUAAUAGGGCUGCAUGAUAUUGGGGAGAAACACUUGUGUGCGUGUGUGUGUGUGUGUGUGUGUGUGUGUGUGCGUGCGUGUGUAUAUAUAUUAUAAUAAUUGGAUAAUUCAUAAAUGGGUUUACCUUUUACAAGUAUAAAUUCAAACCUCUUUCAGUAACCAUUUUGUAGUAAAAAAAAAAAACUAUUUCAAAUAUAUUGUAAUAAUAAAAUAUUGUAAAAACGAAUUUGUAAAAUAAACUAAAAUAAAAAAGUAAAAUUGGAAUACUAAUAUUUACAUAUUAGUUUCUUCAUCUUUUAAACAAUAAUUUUGCACACAAAUAAAAAUAUCUGCUGCCGGUUUCAGAGUAAAGCUUUGUGUCCAUUAACACGCAUACAGCCCAUGGUAUCAGCAUCUCAGAACAGCUUGAUUCACUGUAAAUGAACCAAUCCACAAUUUAACAAUUGCACUAAGCCAUAUUGCCAUAUUGAUUUUAUUUUAAAAUACAGUAUAUUAUGCAGUCCUUCAUGUGAUUUAAAAUGAGGUUAUGCUGUGAAGAGCAGUAAAUUUCUAAACACCAGUUAGAUUGUUGUAUAAAGAAUGAUUUAGUGAUUGAUUUUAUAUUAUAAAUUCCUUGUCUAUAAAUUAG